CUGUAGCCGAGGAGGGAGGACUAACUACACUGCCAAAUACUCUCUUAGCUGGAAAGAAAGCUGCAAGCCUGGGAAUUGUAAGAAAACUAGAUAUUACCAGCAUCAAAUCAUCCACAGAGCACUCUAACUAAAAGGAGAACAUUAUGGAUCCAAAAAAUCCAAGCUCUCACAGAGAAUAGACUGGAAAAGCAAGAUAACUACUUCCCCAACAAAGCCUGAUAUCUUCUAGAAACAAUGACAG
Long non-coding RNA from Agelaius phoeniceus (red-winged blackbird), 241 nucleotides. RefSeq lists it as uncharacterized. The record is from RefSeq and is a predicted model, not a curated record. NCBI's taxonomy places the organism in Eukaryota, Metazoa, Chordata, Aves, Passeriformes, Icteridae.